Molecule: ribosomal RNA, 1216 nt
Filed under: Bacillus velezensis
Lineage: Bacteria; Bacillati; Bacillota; Bacilli; Caryophanales; Bacillaceae
Description: bacterial SSU rRNA
Rfam family: Bacterial small subunit ribosomal RNA
Source: RNAcentral
GUAACGGCUCACCAAGGCGACGAUGCGUAGCCGACCUGAGAGGUGAUCGGCCACACUGGGACUGAGACACGGCCCAGAUUCCUACGGGAGGCAGCAGUAGGGAAUCUUCCGCAAUGGACGAAAGUCUGACGGAGCAACGCCGCGUGAGUGAUGAAGGUUUUCGGAUCGUAAAGCUCUGUUGUUAGGGAAGAACAAGUGCCGUUCAAAUAGGGCGGCACCUUGACGGUACCUAACCAGAAAGCCACGGCUAACUACGUGCCAGCAGCCGCGGUAAUACGUAGGUGGCAAGCGUUGUCCGGAAUUAUUGGGCGUAAAGGGCUCGCAGGCGGUUUCUUAAGUCUGAUGUGAAAGCCCCCGGCUCAACCGGGGAGGGUCAUUGGAAACUGGGGAACUUGAGUGCAGAAGAGGAGAGUGGAAUUCCACGUGUAGCGGUGAAAUGCGUAGAGAUGUGGAGGAACACCAGUGGCGAAGGCGACUCUCUGGUCUGUAACUGACGCUGAGGAGCGAAAGCGUGGGGAGCGAACAGGAUUAGAUACCCUGGUAGUCCACGCCGUAAACGAUGAGUGCUAAGUGUUAGGGGGUUUCCGCCCCUUAGUGCUGCAGCUAACGCAUUAAGCACUCCGCCUGGGGAGUACGGUCGCAAGACUGAAACUCAAAGGAAUUGACGGGGGCCCGCACAAGCGGUGGAGCAUGUGGUUUAAUUCGAAGCAACGCGAAGAACCUUACCAGGUCUUGACAUCCUCUGACAAUCCUAGAGAUAGGACGUCCCCUUCGGGGGCAGAGUGACAGGUGGUGCAUGGUUGUCGUCAGCUCGUGUCGUGAGAUGUUGGGUUAAGUCCCGCAACGAGCGCAACCCUUGAUCUUAGUUGCCAGCAUUCAGUUGGGCACUCUAAGGUGACUGCCGGUGACAAACCGGAGGAAGGUGGGGAUGACGUCAAAUCAUCAUGCCCCUUAUGACCUGGGCUACACACGUGCUACAAUGGACAGAACAAAGGGCAGCGAAACCGCGAGGUUAAGCCAAUCCCACAAAUCUGUUCUCAGUUCGGAUCGCAGUCUGCAACUCGACUGCGUGAAGCUGGAAUCGCUAGUAAUCGCGGAUCAGCAUGCCGCGGUGAAUACGUUCCCGGGCCUUGUACACACCGCCCGUCACACCACGAGAGUUUGUAACACCCGAAGUCGGUGAGGUAACCUUUAUGGAGCCAGCCGCCGAAGGUGA